UCUUUUUACAGUUAAUUAAAUUUCUUUACAUUAAAAAAUAACCUCCCUCAUAGACUGCCCUGAUGCGUGAUACAAAACUGCAACCAUCGCUAAAAGUUAAAACCAUCGGUGAAGAAUUGCUCCAUUACACACUGAUAGUAUACUCCUCUGUUUACACCCCACAUCCUUUGUGUCUAUAUUGCUGAAUUAAAGUCAUUCAUCAAAGAAAUUAGCCACUGGUGCCUUCUUGGAUUACGUGAUACUUGGAUUCAACUCUUCUAUACUGCACUGUUUCAUCAAUGACUUAGCCUUCUACUAUAAAGAGUAAAGGUAGUGGUCUGGCUCGAGUUAUGGCAGGUGCAUUGGUUGAUGAUGCACAGUCCUUGUCCAGACAAUUUGCUGCAAUGAGUCUAAGGAAUGAAGAAAGACCAUGGCCUAGCAGUACUACUUGGGGCAGGAUGGGAUAAAAGAAGACAGCCAGCUCUACUUCGGCGAGCUCUUAUGAAGGAGGAGGAGACAUGGAAUUUAAGCAGAACAGGUUCUUUCCGGCAGAAAGGAAAAUUGUCACUGCCAAUCCAGAUAUAAACAUUGUAUUGUUGCGGAAUACAAGUUCUUUUAAUCUUGUGGACUUUAUUCGCUCUGCUAAUAAUUGAUAUUUUGCGGAAUAACAAGCACAGGUUCAUCGGUUUCUCAAGAACAAGUUGCUCAUGUAGUAGUUUUGUGUUUUAUUAGAAAUUGUAGUUAUGUACAGUAGUUUCUUGAAAAAGAGUUAUAGAGGAUUUCAUGUUUUAUGUUCAAUAUAUUUAUUUGUAAUUAUCCGGUUGUACACAUAUAUUUUCAUUAAUAAUUAAGUAAUUUUUAAGUA
Long non-coding RNA from Daucus carota subsp. sativus, 844 nucleotides. RefSeq lists it as uncharacterized. NCBI's taxonomy places the organism in Eukaryota, Viridiplantae, Streptophyta, Magnoliopsida, Apiales, Apiaceae. The transcript has 5 exons. The record is from RefSeq and is a predicted model, not a curated record.